Molecule: non-coding RNA, 716 nt
Organism: Ictidomys tridecemlineatus (thirteen-lined ground squirrel)
Lineage: Eukaryota; Metazoa; Chordata; Mammalia; Rodentia; Sciuridae
Source: RefSeq, a predicted model, not a curated record
UCCUCGAACUUGGGAUUCCCACCAUUAGAGGGCUCAGCUUUGAGACUCUGGGGUGACCAUUGCUGAUGUCCGGAGGUUCUAAAACAAAAGCUAAAGCAGGUGGACUCUUAGGAAGAAGCAGUCCCGCCUAGGGCCCACAGGAAGUUACCCUUGAUGAAACAGUCAGUGAUGUCAUCACAAAAGAGGGUGGGGGAAUCACCAAGGAGCAGUCGUCUGGUUUUUAAGGGAAACUGCUUUCCAGUUCAAUGUUUCUGGGAUCCUAUCAAUUAUCCUAUAAGCACAGCAAUUUAAAUCGCCUGCUCCUAUCCUUGGAAAGAAAGGAUGGAAUCGCUGUUUCUGUCACAACUCAAAAGGAAUUUGAGAAGAUGUCUUACCAAUAAUACAAGUUCUGGGUGGUGUGACAGAACUGCAGUUUUCCUUCCUCAAUCCAUUUCAUGCUUCUUCCGGAUGGUACAAAACUAGACCAUGUGUUUUCCAGGUUCCUUUAAAGCAAUGUGGCAUGUGACUAAAUUCUGUUCCAUGAAUGUGAGAGGAAGCAAUGUGUGGCCGUGGCUGUGACCCAGUGUUGAGCAUGCAGAUGAGAACGACCUUCUAAGAGCUGACACACUGGCGAGAUGGAGGGGACUUGAGUUCCUGACUGGUUUCAGGGAGAGCAGUCACCCUACCCACCACCCACAAACUAUACAACUGUGAAAUAAAUAAUAUUACAUAAGUCA